Molecule: non-coding RNA, 490 nt
Organism: Python bivittatus (Burmese python)
Lineage: Eukaryota; Metazoa; Chordata; Lepidosauria; Squamata; Pythonidae
Source: the annotation of a RefSeq genome assembly
UUAACAGCCCCAGGCUGAAAUGGGUGCAGCACCUUUUCCCUCCGGCUGUGGGGUGCCUGAACUCCGCUUCUUCCAUUCCCUCCUUGCCUUCUGGUGCGCAUUUGUGGGCAGUGGCUCUGCCGUGACAGUUACCCAGUCUCCAACCUUUGUGAAAGAGUCACCAGGAAAAAACGUUUCUUUCAACUGUGCUGUGAAUGAUGCAGGCUACAAGAUAUUUUGGUAUAGCCAGGCGCCUGGCAGGACAGAGCUAGAAGUCCUUGGGUCCUUCGGUUCUAGUGAAAAACUUGAAGAUAGCCCAGAGAAGUGGACAAAACGGCUGAAAGCAAAGUGGAAAGAUGGAGAAAACAAGAAAAUGGCUUUGGAUCUGACAGGUCUUCAGCCUACUGACACGGGCUUCUAUUUCUGCGCUGCAAGUUACACAGUGAAUGAGGGAGGAACUGGGACUGGUACAAAACUGAGUAUCAGAAUAAGCCUCCCCUGCUUUUCCUAA